This 712-nucleotide long non-coding RNA is filed under the name Athene cunicularia (burrowing owl). Its description in RNAcentral is "lncRNA (ENSACUG00000006063.1)". The record is from RNAcentral. Lineage: Eukaryota; Metazoa; Chordata; Aves; Strigiformes; Strigidae.
AUGUGUUAUUUCUUUUAUAAUUUAGUAUUCUUACAAUUGCUAUCUUUAAAGUCCCAGAAGCACCAAAGAAAAUUGCCAGACAAGAAAGAGUAUCCAUUGCUGUUCCAAAAAGAAAAGUGUCUCCACCACCAGAAGUACCAACAGAAGAAGAACACUGGGCUAUGUCAGAGGAAGUAUCCAUUUCUCUUCACACAGAAAAGGAGAUUUCAUACACAGUGCCUGAUGUACCAGAGAGGGCUAUUAUUGAAGAAAGAGUACCAGUUUAUCCUCCUAAAAAAAUGGCAAGACCACCAGCCAAAGUGCCUGAAAUGCGCAAGACAGUUGUCCGAAAAGAAAAAGUAUAUGUUGAAGUUCCUCAGUAUGAAGAGGAAGAAGAGAUUCCAACAUAUGAAGAAGAAGAAGCCACCAGAUAUGAGGAGGAAGUAAUCCAUUACAAGGAGGAAGUCCACCAUUAUGAAGAAGUUAGUCACUACGAGGAGGAAGUUCCUCAGUAUGAAGAAGUUCCUCAAUAUGAAGAGGAAGAAGUCACCCAUUAUGAAGAAGCAGCUGCUUAUUAUGAAGAAGUUCCUGAAUAUGAGGAGGAAGAGCCAGAAGUUCCCCAGUAUGAAGAGGAGGCUCCCCCACGAGUUAGAGGUAUACUUUAAUUUUAGGAUUUGUGUGAGAAAAAGUAGUACAUUUUAAUUCUGUUAAUAUACCAAAGUUUUGGUUUAGU